AUAUAAAGAAACCCCAUAAAGAUCCGGAUUUUUAAUAAAAUUCGAAAUACAUUCCUUUUUUUUUAUAUAGAUAGGGCCGUUAAUUUUCUCGUUUGAAUUGUUUUACAUUGUCAUUUCGGGGCCUUUUAUAGCUGACUUUGUGGUAUUGCCUUUGCUCAUUGUUGAAGGCCAUACGGUGACCUAUAUUUGUUAAUGUCUGUGU
RNAcentral lists this long non-coding RNA (202 nucleotides) under Mytilus galloprovincialis (Mediterranean mussel). Lineage: Eukaryota; Metazoa; Mollusca; Bivalvia; Mytilida; Mytilidae. The record is from RNAcentral.